This 245-nucleotide ribosomal RNA is filed under the name uncultured Aciditerrimonas sp. Its description in RNAcentral is "partial 16S ribosomal RNA". It matches the Rfam family "Bacterial small subunit ribosomal RNA", at positions 524 to 767 of the family's 1533-position model. Lineage: Bacteria; Bacillati; Actinomycetota; Acidimicrobiia; Acidimicrobiales; Acidimicrobiaceae. The record is from RNAcentral.
UACGUAGGGGGCGAGCGUUGUCCGGAUUCAUUGGGCGUAAAGCGCUUUAAGGCGGUUCGGUAAGUCGGGUGUGAAACCUCCAGGCUCGACCUGGAGACGCCACUCGAUACUGCUGUGACUAGAGUCCGGUAGGGGACCACGGAAUUCCUGGUGUAGCGGUGAAAUGCGCAGAUAUCAGGAGGAACACCAGUGGCGAAGGCGGUGGUCUGGGCCGGAACUGACGCUGUAGAGCGAAAGCGUGGGGA